CCUACGGGGGGCUGCAGUGGGGAAUAUUGGACAAUGGGCGCAAGCCUGAUCCAGCCAUGCCGCGUGAGUGACGAAGGUCUUCGGAUUGUAAAGCUCUUUUGGCGGGGACGAUAAUGACGGUACCCGCAGAAUAAGCCCCGGCUAACUUCGUGCCAGCAGCCGCGGUAAUACGAAGGGGGCUAGCGUUGUUCGGAAUUACUGGGCGUAAAGCGCACGUAGGCGGAUUUAUAAGUCAGGGGUGAAAUCCCGGGGCUCAACCUCGGAACUGCCUUUGAUACUGUAAGUCUCGAGUCCGGAAGAGGUGAGUGGAAUUCCUAGUGUAGAGGUGAAAUUCGUAGAUAUUAGGAAGAACACCAGUGGCGAAGGCGGCUCACUGGUCCGGUACUGACGCUGAGGUGCGAAAGCGUGGGGAGCAAACAGGAUUAGAUACCCCGGUAGUC
Molecule: ribosomal RNA, 440 nt
Filed under: Weissella confusa
Lineage: Bacteria; Bacillati; Bacillota; Bacilli; Lactobacillales; Lactobacillaceae
Description: bacterial SSU rRNA
Rfam family: Bacterial small subunit ribosomal RNA
Source: RNAcentral